GAAGGUUGAACGGAACUAAUUUGCAUUUAGUUGAUGAGAUAGUUUUUG
RNAcentral lists this transfer RNA (48 nucleotides) under Parachtes teruelis. RNAcentral's name for it is "tRNA-Ala". Lineage: Eukaryota; Metazoa; Arthropoda; Arachnida; Araneae; Dysderidae. The record is from RNAcentral.